CCCCACCCCGCCUCCCUCCGCGGCUCUCGCAGCCGGCUCCGCUCCCGGCUCGGCUGCGCAUCGCGGGAGCGCUCUGACAGCACCUGCAGGACAGCGCGGGCACUCGGAGCCGGGAAGGGGAAUAAGGAACAACGAGAUGAAUCUUUCUGAUGAUAGAUAUUCUGUGCUGGCAUUUCUGAGCAUCAGGAACAAAAGAAAAAGUCUGCAGAAUACUUUGACAUCAACAGCUGCACAGGUCUCAUUUCACAAACCACAGCUUACUCUGUACCUGCAGCAGAACUGGGCUCGAGGCAGCCAGAAGACACUGUUUCAACAUCCAGAUGUUUCAGCUUCUGCUGUAAUUCCACUUACUUUCAUACAGAGAUUCAAGAGGAUGACCGAGAGAGAGCAAAGGGUUUCUACUCUUUUUUAUAUAAUUUUGUUUUGUAAUAUAUAUGUGUAUGAGCACUGUAUGGGUAAAUAUAUACCUGUAAGUAUGUACAUCUCUUUGUUUAAAUAACAUGUGGUUUCCUUUGCUGUUCGUGACCAACAUCAAUUGCUGUGCUGCCUUUGUAAAUAUGCUGCAAUGGCUGAUUCUUUUGAAUUCUUUGUGCUAUCUUUGCUUAUGCUGAAUAGCAGCUGACACUUUAAUUGGGAUGACUGAGCUGAGUGCAUUCGCCUUUGGAAUUGGACACUUUUCAGUGUGAAGAGAGGGUACCAGAGACUGACUCUUCUGUCUUUAUCCUCAAUCAAAGCUCCAUUAAAUCAGACCUACAGUUUGUAGCAAGGGACAUUCUCCAUUGCAUUGAAACACAUGGGAAAGGCUGGAGACUCAGUUUUGGAGGUUAAUUAGAUCCUGAAAAGAAGAAUUAACUGAAUUUGUUCCCCGUAUCUUUUUUUUCCCCCUAUUUUUAAGAAUCUUCUCAAUUACUUUCAUCUCUGUUGGUGAUGACCACUUUUCUCUUUAUAGGAAAAAUAUCAUGUACUUUUCAGUUUAUUAGAAACCUUUUUAUUAGAAAGAUUCUAAUUCUCAUUUUAAACAAAAAGGAAUGUAGUGCUGGCACAUUGUGUUAAAAUUUAGGCAUCAGAACUUACUCUAUAUUAAUAUGAGCUAAUCUUUAGCUAAUCUUUAUUUUUGUUUAACUGAGUGCUAACAUAAAGAAUGGAAUGUGUUGUAGGAGGGAGACAUCAUCUUGUUCUUUUACCCAAUUUUAGUUGAAUUGAUUUUGCAGAGGAGUAAAGUUGUAUUUUUAGUCCUCCUCCCCAUUCCAGGUUUCCUUGUGUUACGUUCACCUCCAGCCCUUUCCCAGACAUCCCUUCAGAAAGGACUGUGUGUUCAGUUCUCUUAACCCUUAGCAAGAAUCCAGGCAAGUGGUGGUUUGAGCAAGUUCAGGAAAGGCACUGUAACUUCAGCAGUGAUAAUAUGGCUCUUCUCAUUCGAAUGGUGUUCCUUGCUCCAUGUUAGAUUAAAGCAAUUUUCUCUGACUUUACUCUUUCUGUACAACACACUUCAGUCAUGAAGGAGUGAUGUUCUCGAUGGAUUGGAAGAUUUUCUUCUUGAUCCUUUUUUUCUGUUCUUAUGAUCUCAGCUCUAGUUUUAGAUCUGUUGUACUGAAUGUAAAAUGCCUGGAAAAACGCAGGACUGGACAGAGGCUGACAAGACAGACUUCCAAUCAAUCGUGCUACCAAAAAAAUUAAAAAAAAAAAUUAGUCAAAGUGGAAGAAGCACAGAGGAGGGACUGCAAAAGAAAAAUAGGGUAAACUCCAUUUUUAGAGCAUGGUUUGGUGAUCCCAGGGUUCUCAGAAGUAACCAAAUGCUGGAACUGAAAGCUGUGUCCAUGUAAAACAGUGCUGAAGCUAAUUGUCCUGGUGUGAUGCUGAGGUGAGGUGAUAUCUUACGAUGUUUAUGAACGAGUGCCUGCUGCAGUUUGCUUUGUUUCUUGGAAUAGAUUGAGGCUGAUAUGGCAGCAGGGCAGCCACAGCUUGUUCUCUCCUUCCUGUAUAUUGGGUGUUGAAAAGCAAGAGAUACCAAUGCUUCUGUAGCUCUGCCCCUCUGUCCCCAGAGGCAGUGUGAGCCUGUCUUCUGCCAGGACCAAGACCCAUGCACUCCCCUGUUGCAGACCAGUGUGGUGAUUCCCAGCUGGGCAAAGGCAAGCAAGCAGGAGCUACUGUAAGAACACAAGUGCCUGCAUUUUUCCUGGUGUUCUGGUGCUCUGUGUACAUGACCACACAUUGGUUUCAGCGCUAAUGACCAACCUGAGGUGCUGAAGGAAUACAGUCCCACAGUCAAUCAGACUUAGCUUCAGAAAUUAUUGGGGCCAUUACUAGAUCUUGGAGUUUUAUUUUUCCAUUCUAGCUGUGUUUCAUUCACACUUAGGCAUUUCACACCUGCUGUCAUCUAAGAGUUCCUCAGCACAGCCCCAUUUCACACAUCCUCAGGCAUCCAGGAACAUCUGGAAAGUGACUGAUUUCGUCCAGCUUACAGCACAUUCUCAAGUCUUGGCAUUCUUGCUUUCAUAGCUCUGGGGUUUUGCAAUGUAAAAUCAAACAGGAAUCAGUUGACAUCAACAGGUACAAACAGAUUAACUGGAGGUACAAAACAGGGAGGUGGGGGUAUUGGAUUCCCCCUGUGCUUUGAAACUGCUGGCAAAACAAAGUCCAGGCUUACUUGACUCUGAACCCAGUACUACAGCUGGUAUCUGUGCAGUGCCCAGGAACCUUGACUAUGGCUCAGAAGCCCCUUGCUCUGGAUAAAAGAAAACAUAAAACAAGGUGGUCAUUGCCCCAGGUGUAGCUACUGUGUGGGACAGAGACUGCUGGAUGCCAUCAGUAUCAAAGCAGCCUACAGGGAACACAGAACCCAUCACCUCUGAAAGAUAUACUUGGUUUUGCUGAUGUUAGAAAACAAGUUGUUUGGAUUCCAUACAAGGGAGCAUCUGAUGAUGAGUUGCUUUUAUACAGAGAAAGUCAAGAUGCUUUAUGUAAUUGCUUAGUGUCAGAACAAAGCUGUAUUAACAGAGCUUAGCAAGUUACGGACCUAAAGCCAUCCUUUUUUGGCACCUUCUGAAAGCAGAAUAUAACUUUGCUCACGGUCAAAGUGCUGUCUGAGCAGAGGAGCUGAGGCAGGCAGACAAGUACCAUGGCCAGGUUCAUCUAAUGUUUGUUGAGGUCAAACCUCCUGGAAGGCAGUGCAACGGAGGUGCUCUGUCCUGAGGUUCUGAGGCUGUCACCUGCUAAUUGGAUAGACUGUCUCUGCCUUAGUGCUGAUCAGAGUUAAUGCCCAGGAUCAAAAGAUAGCUCAAUGAAGAUAAAUUUGCAGCAUGAGAGAAUUCAUCAUGUAUUUAAAGUUACUGAAAUGGGGAAUAAGCAAAGCACUGAUAUUAUGGAGGUGUGCAUAAGAAUGUAGCGAGGCAAGAUCCUGAGGCACUCACUGAAUCUGAACAGCUUACCAUAGAAUUUAAAGGACAUUAAGGAUCCUAAUUUGUGUUUGAAGUUAUAGACUCUUCUCAAUAUAUUAAAAUUCCUCCCUCAAAUUCUCUAGAAAUGGUCCCACAUUUCUAGAAUAUGCCACAGGACUUUCUGUUUGCUGUCUGAUCUCUCUGCCACUAUAUGAGUAUGUAAAAAAACUGAGGCAAAAUUGGCUCUGCCUGCCAUAUUUCUGUGAUAUAGGGGACCCUGACUGCAACAAAAUCAGAGAAAUUCCUGCCACACAGAUACAAGAAUGGGGAAGCACAGUGUUGGGGAUAAUAUUCUUUCCCAUUAAUGAAAAUUAAAUUGUUUUACAGCUGAAUCCCACUUAUGUUUAUGCUGAAGGGCCUCAAUAUAGGUAAAAACUCAGGCAUUAUGUAAACUGCUGAAACACCUGUUACAGUAAUUUUUCAUUUUACUCAAAUCUGUAAAGUUUUUCCACUUACCUUUCUUUCUAUUCAGAUACUUUGGGAUAUAUGGCAGGUGAAGGCUUUUGAAAUAGAGUGAGAUCUUAUUUAAAGCAGGUACACACACUUCCUACACAAACAACCUCCUUUUUUCCAUGUGAAAAGAAAUGUUUUGUCAAAAUUUGCAGCCAGUACCUUGUGUUUACAUGUGUUACACUUUCAGGGCAUCAAAUGAUGAUCAGCAGGGUAAGGCUGGAGAGGACAGAACCUUUCUUUCUGCUGCAGAACAUUCUGAUGGGGUGUAAGACAGGGAGGAAACAUGGGGACUUCUGAGGAGGUCUGUGCUCUACAGGUAGGACUCACCAUCCUCUGACCAGCAGCAGAAUGCUUAUGCAGAGGAUGAAAACCACUGUUUAGGGUAGAUGGAGCCAAGCUAGAAUCUACCAGGAGCAUAUUGUGGUGUGUGUGUUCUGCUACUUCAUUAGCAGCACUCAGUGUUCCUUCAGUGCUCUGACCCUUGAUGGCCUUUGAGUAUGAGACUGUUUGCAGUGUUUUGCCUCGUCUGCUCCUUCCUUAUCAGGUGGCCUGUAGCAGACACCCACCAUAAUGUCAGCCAGCAUGGGAUGCCCUCUGGUCCUGGCCCAUAUGCUGCCAACUGUCUUGUCACCUGUGCCAAGGCACAGACAGCUCCAGGGGCCCCAGUUGCUCUCUCACAUAAAGGGCAGCUCUCCCUCCUUGAUGUCCUGGCCUGUCCUCCCUGUAGAGCUGGAUCCAUGCAGAGCAGCCCUCCAUGGCAGCUGAACAUCCCCCUCCUGAUCCUACCAAGCUAGUGCAUCACAUAUCUGUGGUGCCAGCGAGAUCAUAGCCCAUCCCAGCACCUUUAUUGCCUCCUGUUUGUCAUCUGUAGUGGACAGACACUUCCUGGGGACCAUUAUGAACCACCAUGAGCCAGCAUUAAGACCUGCCCCAGCACCCUGGUUACACUGCCCUGCACUUGUGUGAGCCCAGCUGCCUGUUGAUGUGGUGUUUCACAGGUGUACCAAGUGCAUAGAAUUUAGCAAAACUGUGACCUGAGCCCUCUGCCUGGCACUUAUUAGCAGCAGGCUCAGCCCUCAGCACUGCCUGGUGCAUACUAACAACUUGUUUUCAUCCUUCCAGGGCACGGGAACUGCCUGGCAUCCUCAACCAUUCCUCGUUUGGCUGCUCAGGGUGCUGGGGCAGCCCUCGGGGUUUUGGGAGGUUACAGGUGAUCACAUUUACAAGAGGCAAAAAAAAGAAAAUAUCACUUGUUCAGAAGAUUCUUCACAGGAUUUGUGAUAACUCUCCAAAUUCUGAAGCCUGCUGAAAUUUUCCUUGACAGCCUAAACCAGAAUGUGCAGUUCAACCUGAGGCAUUCAAAGUGGAAAGCAGCAGCUGUGAGCACUCAGCAUUUUCACCAGAAGGAGAAGGAGCUGUUCCCUACCCAAAGUGUCUGGUUCAGUUUGCUGAAAGGGUGUCAGCAAAUUAACAUCACCUCUAUAGGUGAAUGGACAUUUGGUCAGGGUUAGUCUGGUAAGGAGAGGAAUGAGAAAGGCUGGCACUGAACAGGAGUAUUCAAGCCUGCACACUGCUGGGAGGAGGUGCUGAGUAACAUUUUAGCCUGUCUGAAUCUGUCCAAAUUGCUAUCACACUGUAUUAUGGUUCUUUAUUAUCAGCUAGAAAUUCUUCUCACGAUGUCUGUAGUUAACAAAUAUAUGUGACUGUUGUCAAUUGAAGUAAUAAUGGUGGAACUGGAAAACACUUUUUUAAAAUGAAAAGUUGUAAAAUGGUGCUAAGACUACAGUAUAAUGGGAUUACUUUCAUGACAAUUACAGACUGUGAAUUAUAAAUGAGAAAAUAAUAGAAAAACCUUUUUUUUUAAUGGAAAAUGUAAUAAAUGAGAGGGAAGCCUAGUUUCUCAUUGAUCCUUUUCCCAGAGAUCACUCAGGAAACCUCUCAUGCAAAACAAUCUAUCUUUGAAGAUGCAGUUUGUGUAUGUUCAGUCUCUGCAAGUUCCUCACAGAUACAGCAGAGUGGAUCCAUAUUGUUACUUGCUCUUGGGCUUAUCUCCAUCCAGACUUGAAACCCUGCUUAGAAUAUAUCCUGCCUUCACACUAUGGAUUCAUGCCUCGGCUAUAUUGGUGUCCUAAGCUAACCUCUGAAAUGUUGGCUCUCUGGACCAUCAUGGAAUGGAGUCAAUAAUGUUUUUGCCUUAUCAAAGCAUUUAUAAAGCCUGAUUUUUCUAGACAGCUGGGUGGUGUAAUAUUCAGUAGUCUAAUCAAGUUUCUUCAUCUACCAUCAGUCUUUACUGUGAUCUUAGCCCAUGUAAUUUGAUUAGUCAUUUAUAACUUUAGUACCUAAUAUAUUAAAAAUGGCAGUGAGCUGAAAGCACUGGAAAUAUUCACAAGAACCAGAAAAGCAGACUGGGAGCUGUGGGCCUUUUGUAACUGCUGACAUAUCCUGAGAGGCCCUUACACUGCAUUUAUCCAGUACUUUUGAGCUCUUGCUUUAUGUUAAAAUAAAUAAGUAAGUAAAGCUCUUAUCUUUAAGCUUGUUGCUUUUUUUUUUAUCAGGGAAAGUUUUAAUGAGAAAGUUUAACUCAUCAGUGUUAAGUUUUCUACUAAUUACGUGAAAGUGAUUUUUCCUCUGCAGGCAGGUUCUGUUAUCUGGCACUCCUGAGCUAAUGGGUUACAUCCAUGGAUGGUGCUACCCUGCUUUAGUCUUUGGGGAAAAAAAAAGAAAAAAAAGUUCUAAGAAGUUAUUGAUUAGCUAAAUAGACACUUCAGAGCUCCAUACUGCUUCUGUAAUUCCAGAAUUGGGAUAGAUAUGCUCAGCCUUUUGGCUAUAAUAUAUGCUGCUUCAGUGGCAAGAUGAUUUAUCAUUGAAAAUAAUAUAUUUGACAACAUAAGUGAGUGGUCUAGGUCAUACCUAGUAACUUAAGCAUGUGGUUUUGAUCCUUGUUAUAUAAAAAACCAAACCAAAUCUAGUUAGGAGAUCAGCAUUCAUUCCUGGCACACUGGCUAUUUUUGCAUGCUGGCUGUUUUUCAUUUUACAGGCCUAUCAUGAGCUGAGAUUGAAGUCACUUUUUUUCCCUACUGAGUGAAUAAAUUACAAGUCCUGGAGCAGUGCUGUAAUUCUUGGCUAUAACAUCUAUGAGAUAUGUUUAAACUGAAUGAUCCACUGCUCAGAGGAGUGAUGGCUUCUUUUAUAGCCUUCUGGUUUUGUAGACAGUAAACCAUUGAAAUAGACCAUGAACAGAAGGGCAGGUUCACCAUAUUGUCAUCUUUUCUGGAGGCUUGCAUGUACUUUUGUCUCUUCUGUGGGGCUCCUUACACCUCACACGUUCAGGAAUAACUAGCAGUGGUAUUUUUUCUUCAGUCUGUAUUUUGAAUAUUAAAACUGAUAAUUACCAGGCAAGUUUGUGCAUCUCUUUGAAGAAGAUACAAGUAUGUAUCUGCUUCAAACUCACAUGUAGCCUGUGUGUAUCAAACCCUUUUUUAUACAUGUUAUUGUUCCUUCCAGUAGGUCUUUCUCCAUCUGCCCAGAGAACGUUUAUCUGCUUCCAGACAGGCUCUACACUUCCUACCUCCUAUUUAUACAAUCGCCUUGUAAAUGCAGAGCAUUAUUGUAUAGAGAAAGCACAGCUUUCUCACCGACUUUAUGACUGAAAAUUGCACUUAUUGUAAUUUUUCUUCUCUCCUGCCCUUGAAAGAUCCAGCAAUAUCAUUUUAUCCAUUAUGCGACUUUCUUACUUGACAUUCCUUUGUCAUUGCUCUAAAACCAGGCACAAAGAACUGAAAAAGGCUGGGAUGUAUGGGAAAGGAGGGGCCAGGAUUGUUCCACACAGAUCACAAAAAGAUGUGCAGGGGAAGGUGACUGUGCUUGAAAACCCCCACCCCAGACUUUACUGGGUUGCUGCUAGUUGAGUAGUGUGCUUUAGAAGUUUGUGUGAUAAACUGUUUUCACGUAUUUAAAUGUAAUGUCUGCCUAGGUACUGAUUUUAUUUUCCUGUUUAAUUUAUUCUCCAGAUUCUCCGGCCUUCAGUCAAUGCACUGGCUGAUUAAAUUAUUAUCCCAAUAAUGAGAUUUGACACGAUCUAUUCCAGUUACCUGUGUGACCUGCUAAGUAGGUUAAUUGGCAACCCUGAAUAAUUAUCAGCCACCUCAUCUUGCUGAUUGAGAGUCUACCAAUAAAUGAAACAUUAAAAUGCUGAAAAAGACACACGGUUUUUAAUUUCAACUUCUGAAUUUUUUCAAAGAAACCUUUUAGCUAUUAGCUUAUUAAUAAAAUACAGCAAUUUAAAAAAUACCUCGUGAACAUACUGUUUUUAUUAACAUAUAGAUGUUUGCUCUUGUGCAUCUUCACAGCUUCCUAGGAGAAAAAGAACUCAGUGACAUAUUAGAUAAACAGGUUCCUCUAUUCUGCAAAUUGCGUGUAUAACUGAAUAGUUGCAUCCUCAGAGAGCCAGUUCAAAAGUGAAGAAAAUUCAAGAAGUCAAAGUGAUAUUUGUGGUGACAUUGCAAGACUUAUGUUUUAAUGCCUUUCUGUGAAACCUUGAGAACUAGAAAUUAACUUUAUUGUUCAGUGAAAGCUGUGAUUUUUCUAUUCCCAUUUCUCGGGAAACAAAGUUAAGAAAAAUAAAUAUGGUACCUUGUGACUCUGA
Myiozetetes cayanensis is the source of this 8535-nucleotide long non-coding RNA. RefSeq lists it as uncharacterized. The record is from RefSeq and is a predicted model, not a curated record. NCBI's taxonomy places the organism in Eukaryota, Metazoa, Chordata, Aves, Passeriformes, Tyrannidae. The transcript is spliced from 6 exons.